CAAUAGCGUAUAUUAAAGUUGUUGCAGUUAAAAAGCUCGUAGUUGGAUUUGUGGCGUACGGUGUGUUCCGGGCACUUGUUGUCUGAGUAACCUGCUGUUGCCAUCCUUGGGUGGAACCUGUGUGGCAUUAGGUUGUCGUGCAGGGGAUGCCCAUCAUUUACUUUGAAAAAAUUAGAGUGUUCAAAGCAGGCUUAUGCCGUUGAAUAUAUUAGCAUGGAAUAAUGAGAUAGGACUUUUUUGCUAUUUUGUUGGUUUGCGCAAAGAGGUAAUGAUUAAUAGGGACAGUUGGGGGUAUUCGUAUUCCAUUGUCAGAGGUGAAAUUCUUGGAUUUUUGGAAGACGAACUACUGCGAAAGCAUUUACCAAGGAUGUUUUCAUUAA
Molecule: ribosomal RNA, 380 nt
Filed under: uncultured eukaryote
Lineage: Eukaryota
Description: partial 18S ribosomal RNA
Rfam family: Eukaryotic small subunit ribosomal RNA
Source: RNAcentral